RNAcentral lists this ribosomal RNA (253 nucleotides) under uncultured bacterium. RNAcentral describes it as "partial 16S ribosomal RNA". It matches the Rfam family "Bacterial small subunit ribosomal RNA", at positions 524 to 776 of the family's 1533-position model. The record is from RNAcentral.
UACGUAGGGUGCGAGCGUUAAUCGGAAUUACUGGGCGUAAAGCGUGCGCAGGCGGUAAUGCAAGACAGAUGUGAAAUCCCCGGGCUUAACCUGGGAACUGCAUUUGUGACUGCAUUGCUGGAGUGCGGCAGAGGGGGAUGGAAUUCCGCGUGUAGCAGUGAAAUGCGUAGAUAUGCGGAGGAACACCGAUGGCGAAGGCAGCCCCCUGGGCCAAUACUGACGCUCAUGCACGAAAGCGUGGGGAGCAAACAGG